Molecule: ribosomal RNA, 497 nt
Filed under: uncultured bacterium
Lineage: Bacteria
Description: partial 16S ribosomal RNA
Rfam family: Bacterial small subunit ribosomal RNA
Source: RNAcentral
GAUGAACGCUGGCGGCGUGCCUAAUACAUGCAAGUCGAGCGAACAGACGAGGAGCUUGCUCCUCUGACGUUAGCGGCGGGCGGGUGAGUAACACGUGGAUAACCUACCUAUAAGACUGGGAUAACUUCGGGAAACCGGAGCUAAUACCGGAUAAUAUAUUGAACCGCAUGGUUCAAUAGUGAAAGACGGUUUUGCUGUCACUUAUAGAUGGAUCCGCGCCGCAUUAGCUAGUUUGUAAGGUAACGGCUUACCAAGGCAACGAUGCGUAGCCGACCUGAGAGGGUGAUCGGCCACACUGGAACUGAGACACGGUCCAGACUCCUACGGGAGGCAGCAGUAGGGAAUCUUCCGCAAUGGGCGAAAGCCUGACGGAGCAACGCCGCGUGAGUGAUGAAGGUCUUCGGAUCGUAAAACUCUGUUAUUAGGGAAGAACAAAUGUGUAAGUAACUAUGCACGUCUUGACGGUACCUAAUCAGAAAGCCACGGCUAACUACGUG